GGGCGAGUAGAGCGGCGGACGGGUGAGUAAUACAUAGGUAAUCUACCUUCGAGCUUGGGAUAACCCCGCGAAAGUGGGGCUAAUACCGGAUAAGACCACGUAACCAUGUUGCGGGGUAAAAGGUGGCUUAUUUUUUAAAUGAGCUAUCACUUGAGGAUGAGCCUGUGGCCUAUCAGCUAGUUGGCGGGGUAAAAGCCCACCAAGGCUAUGACGGGUAGCUGGUCUGAGAGGACGACCAGCCACACUGGGACUGAGACACGGCCCAGACUCCUACGGGAGGCAGCAGUGGGGAAUAUUGGGCAAUGGGCGAAAGCCCUGACCCAGCGACGCCGGCGUGGGCGAUGAAGGCCUUCGGGUUGUAAAGCCCUGUCAUGCGGAAAGAACGACCCUGUGACGCAUACUCACAGGGAGGUGACGGGUACCGCAGGAGGAAGCACCGGCUAACUCCGUGCCAGCAGCCGCGGUAAUACGGAGGGUGCAAGCGUUGUUCGGAAUUAUUGGGCGUAAAGGGCGCGUAGGCGGUAAUGCAAGUCAGAUGUGAAAUACUUCGGCUCAACUGAAGAACUGCAUCUGAAACUGCAUAACUAGAGUACAGAAGAGGGAAACGGAAUUCCCGGUGUAGAGGUGAAAUUCGUAGAUAUCGGGAGGAACACCAGUGGCGAAGGCGGUUUCCUGGUCUGAUACUGACGCUGAGGCGCGAAAGUGUGGGGAGCAAACAGGAUUAGAUACCCUGGUAGUCCACACUGUAAACGGUGAACACUAGGUGUGGGAGGUGUAUACCUUCCGUGCCGUAGCUAC
RNAcentral lists this ribosomal RNA (798 nucleotides) under uncultured Syntrophorhabdus sp. Its description in RNAcentral is "bacterial SSU rRNA". It matches the Rfam family "Bacterial small subunit ribosomal RNA", at positions 84 to 855 of the family's 1533-position model. Lineage: Bacteria; Pseudomonadati; Thermodesulfobacteriota; Syntrophorhabdia; Syntrophorhabdales; Syntrophorhabdaceae. The record is from RNAcentral.